RNAcentral lists this ribosomal RNA (480 nucleotides) under uncultured bacterium. RNAcentral describes it as "partial 16S ribosomal RNA". It matches the Rfam family "Bacterial small subunit ribosomal RNA", at positions 29 to 523 of the family's 1533-position model. The record is from RNAcentral.
AAUGAACGUUGGCGGCGUGGAUUAGGCAUGCAAGUCGAGCGCGAACCCCGCAAGGGGUGAAAGCGGCGAAAGGGAGAGUAACGCGUGGGUAUUUACCCUCGGGACUGGGAUAGCUGCGGGAAACUGCAGGUAAUACCAGAUGACGUCCCCGGACCAAAGGUGUGAUUCCGCCUGAGGAUAAGCUCGCGUCCUAUUAGCUAGUUGGUGAGGUAAUGGCUCACCAAGGCAAUGAUGGGUACUGGGUGUGAGAGCACGACCCAGCUCACUGGGACUGAGACACUGCCCAGACACCUACGGGUGGCUGCAGUCGGGAAUCUUCGGCAAUGGGCGCAAGCCUGACCGAGCGACGCCGCGUGUGGGAUGAAGGCCUUCGGGUUGUAAACCGCUGUCAGAGGGGAGGAAUGGGCGGAGGGUAAUCUCUUCGUUUUGACCUAUCCUCAGAGGAAGUACGGGCUAAGUUCGUGCCAGCAGCCGCAGUAA